This is a long non-coding RNA of Oncorhynchus masou masou (cherry salmon), 477 nucleotides long. RefSeq lists it as uncharacterized. Lineage: Eukaryota; Metazoa; Chordata; Actinopteri; Salmoniformes; Salmonidae. The transcript is spliced from 3 exons. The record is from RefSeq and is a predicted model, not a curated record.
GAGUGAAUUCUGCAGAAUUAUCUUCUCUGAUUCUGAAGCCUAAAGGUGACUAAGGAAUCACAUAUUGAGAAAAAAGGCUGUUGCUUGUAGGGAGCGACUCAAGAUUGGUAAGACCAGAGACAGAUGAGCUGGGGGACUUGUUAACUGGGAUCCUUGAUAGUCAGCAACCUCUGAAAGGUAUCCCCGAUGAUGACCAUUUGGACAGUACAGAUGGGGGACUGUUCCAAUCCUGAUUUGAGGCAGAUGAUCACCAUAGCUUGGAGGGGGCUCAACAGGAUGAAGGUCAACCAGCUGCAACUGCAGUCUUCCCUCCUGGUUGCUAAGUCACUAACCUGGGCCAGAGGACAAAGACAAGAGGCUGAGCAUGCAUGACAAACUGGCCAUUGAAUUUCAUGAGCGCAAACUAAUGUAUUUAAAAGUGAAGGAGGAGAAGAGAAACUCGACGCAGCAGCAGUACCAAUGUUCUUCUCAAACCAG